Molecule: ribosomal RNA, 371 nt
Filed under: uncultured organism
Description: bacterial SSU rRNA
Rfam family: Bacterial small subunit ribosomal RNA
Source: RNAcentral
CGAAGGGGGCUAGCGUUGCUCGGAAUUACUGGGCGUAAAGGGAGCGUAGGCGGAUAUUUAAGUCGGGGGUGAAAGCCCAGGGCUCAACCCUGGAACUGCCUUCGAUACUGGAUAUCUAGAGUAUGGGGAGAGGUGUGUGGAACUCCGAGUGUAGAGGUGAAAUUCGUAGAUAUUCGGAAGAACACCAGUGGCGAAGGCGACACACUGGCCCAUUACUGACGCUGAGGCUCGAAAGCGUGGGGAGCAAACAGGAUUAGAUACCCUGGUAGUCCACGCUGUAAACGAUGAGUGCUAGUUGUCGGCAUGCAUGCAUGUCGGUGACGCAGCUAACGCAUUAAGCACUCCGCCUGGGGAGUACGGUCGCAAGAUUA